RNAcentral lists this unclassified non-coding RNA (315 nucleotides) under plant metagenome. RNAcentral describes it as "partial contains 5.8S ribosomal RNA, internal transcribed spacer 2, and large subunit ribosomal RNA". The stretch from base 1 to 105 matches the Rfam family "5.8S ribosomal RNA", at positions 50 to 154 of the family's 154-position model. The record is from RNAcentral.
GAAAUGCGAUAAGUAAUGUGAAUUGCAGAGUUUUGUGAAUCAUCGAGUCUUUGAACGCACAUUGCGCCCCCUGGCAUUCCGGGGGGCAUGCCUGUCCGAGCGUCAUUGCUGCCCUUCAAGCCCGGCUUGUGUGUUGGGUCGUCGUCCCCCCCGGGGGACGGACCCGAAAGGCAGCGGCGGCACCGUGUCCGGUCCUCGAGCGUAUGGGGCUUUGUCACCCGCUCGAUUAGGACCGGCCGGGCGCCCGCCGGCGUCAAACCCCAAUCUUUCUAAGGUUGACCUCGGAUCAGGUAGGGAUACCCGCUGAACUUAAGC